UACGUAGGGGGCAAGCGUUGUCCGGAAUCAUUGGGCGUAAAGAGCGUGUAGGCGGUCCUGUCAGUCGGUUGUGAAAGUCAAGGGCUCAACCCUUGAAUGCCGGCCGAUACUGCCGGGCUAGAGUCCGGAAGAGGUGAGUGGAAUUCCUGGUGUAGCGGUGAAAUGCGCAGAUAUCAGGAGGAACACCGAUGGCGAAGGCGGCUUCCUGGACCGACACUGACGCUGAGGCGCGAAAGCUAGGGGAGCAAACGGG
RNAcentral lists this ribosomal RNA (253 nucleotides) under uncultured bacterium. Its description in RNAcentral is "partial 16S ribosomal RNA". It matches the Rfam family "Bacterial small subunit ribosomal RNA", at positions 524 to 776 of the family's 1533-position model. The record is from RNAcentral.